This 392-nucleotide transfer-messenger RNA is filed under the name Pseudonocardiaceae. Its description in RNAcentral is "Pseudonocardia sp001420995 Standard tmRNA". It matches the Rfam family "transfer-messenger RNA". Rfam says of the family: Bacterial tmRNA, also known as 10Sa RNA or SsrA, is named for its dual tRNA and mRNA-like properties. Its role is to liberate the mRNA from a stalled ribosome. The record is from RNAcentral. Lineage: Bacteria; Bacillati; Actinomycetota; Actinomycetes; Pseudonocardiales. RNAcentral also lists the same sequence under 2 other names.
GGGGGUGAACGGUUUCGACUCCGAUCGUCGAUCGAGGUGAAGCGUGCCGAGGAAGGCGACGAUGAUCUCGUUAACCAUGCGUCGCAAAAAAAUAAGUGCCGACAACAGUCGCACUGCCCCGGUUCAGGCUCAGAGCGCCUUCGCGCUCGCUGCCUGAUCCAGUAAGGGGCUGUCGGGCCGGAGGCGUCCCCGCUCCGGUACCCGGCAUCAGCUAGGGGACUCACCCUGCGGUUCGGCCGCGGAAGCGCAGGGGACAUCCAACAGCGGCUGGGAUCGUCACACCGGCUCGUCCGCGUGACCGGUGGAUCCGAGUAGAGACAGAGCGGACUGCGCACGGAGAAGCCCUCGUGAACCGACGGAGGACCCGGGUUCGAUUCCCGGCACCUCCACCA